This 71-nucleotide transfer RNA is filed under the name Bos taurus (domestic cattle). It matches the Rfam family "tRNA". From Rfam's summary of the family: Transfer RNA (tRNA) molecules are approximately 80 nucleotides in length. Lineage: Eukaryota; Metazoa; Chordata; Mammalia; Artiodactyla; Bovidae. RNAcentral also lists the same sequence under 2 other names. The record is from Rfam by way of RNAcentral.
UCCUGGUAGUUCAGCUGGCGAAGAAUCUGCCUGCAAUGCAGGAGACCCAGGUUUGAUUCCUGGGUCAGGAA